This 409-nucleotide ribosomal RNA is filed under the name uncultured bacterium. Its description in RNAcentral is "bacterial SSU rRNA". It matches the Rfam family "Bacterial small subunit ribosomal RNA", at positions 505 to 916 of the family's 1533-position model. The record is from RNAcentral.
GUGUCAGCAGCCGCGGUAAGACGAAGGAUGCAAGCGUUAUCCGGAUUCAUUGGGUUUAAAGGGAGCGUAGGCGGACUUGUAAGUCAGUGGUGAAAUCUGUGGGCUUAACCCAUAAACUGCCAUUGAUACUGCAGGUCUAGAGUACAGUUGCCGUUGGCGGAAUAUGACGUGUAGUGGUGAAAUACUUAGAUAUGUCAUAGAACACCGAUUGCGAAGGCAGCUAACGAAGCUGUAACUGACGCUGAGGCUCGAAAGUGCGGGGAUCAAACAGGAUUAGAUACCCUGGUAGUCCGCACUGUAAACGAUGAUUACUCGUUGCUGGGGAGCAAUUUCCAGUGACCAAGCGAAAGCGAUAAGUAAUCCACCUGGGGAGUACGCCGGCAACGGUGAAACUCAAAGGAAUUGACGG